GACGAAGGGGGCUAGCGUUGUUCGGAAUUACUGGGCGUAAAGCGCACGUAGGCGGCCUUUCAAGUCGGAUGUGAAAGCCCCGAGCUUAACUCGGGAACUGCAUUUGAUACUGUUGGGCUAGAGACCGGGAGAGGAUAGCGGAAUUCCCAGUGUAGAGGUGAAAUUCGUAGAUAUCGGGAGGAACACCAGUGGCGAAGGCGACUACCUGGCCUGUUCUUGACGCUGAGGCGCGAAAGCUAGGGGAGCAAACGGG
This 253-nucleotide ribosomal RNA is filed under the name uncultured bacterium. Its description in RNAcentral is "partial 16S ribosomal RNA". It matches the Rfam family "Bacterial small subunit ribosomal RNA", at positions 524 to 776 of the family's 1533-position model. The record is from RNAcentral.